Molecule: non-coding RNA, 1815 nt
Organism: Cherax quadricarinatus
Lineage: Eukaryota; Metazoa; Arthropoda; Malacostraca; Decapoda; Parastacidae
Source: RefSeq, a predicted model, not a curated record
CGUCUCUUUAAUCAACUUUUUCUAGCCCUACGUAUACUAAUUAUUUUAGGUCACAUAGCAAGGCCUGGUCAUGGACCUGGCCACGGGGGCGCUGACCCCCCGGAACACCCUCCAGGUAGACUUCAGGUAUAAUUACUGUGCUCAGAGGGUUACACCAUUACUAUGGUCACUGUAGAACACCAUUACUAUGGUCACUGUAGAACAUCAUUACUAUGGUCACUGUAGAACACCAUUACUAUGGUCACUGUAGAACACCAUACAUACUCCACUAUAUUAUUGUUUAUGGUUGUUGCAGAAACACCUGACGUUAUUGAGGAACUUUAUUGAUCGAGCCUAGAGGAGUGUGGGUGAUGUAGAGCCUAGAGGAGUGUGGGUGAUGUAGAGCCUAGAGGAGUGUGGGUGAUGUAGAGCCUAGAGGAGUGUGGGUGAUGUAGAGCCUAGAGGAGUGUGGGUGAUGUAGAGCCUAGAGGAGUGUGGGUGAUGUAGAGCCUAGAGGAGUGUGGGUGAUUGGUAGGUAAGACACAUAGGCAACAGUUAGGCAGCUUUAUUCCGAAACGUUUCGCCUACACAGUAGGCUUCUUCAGUCGAAUACAGAAAGUAGGCAGGAACAGUAGAGAUGUGAAGACGAUGUAAUCAGUCCAUCACCCUUAAAGUCGUAGAAUUUGAGGUUGUCAGUCCCUCGGCCUGGAGAAGUUCAGUUCCAUAGUCAGGAACUAUCUGAAGAUCAAGCGACAGUGCGGAGACUUAAAUACUUUCGGAAGGAGAGGUGCAGAGUAGUAGUAGUAGUAGUGAGAGUGUAGCCACUGAGAGGUCAGGUCCCUCUCAGAUCCAACACUUCUCACUUGAAAGGGUUGUCUAAGGCGUUUUCUGUACCAAGAGGCCAUGUGUUGCAGUGUCUGACAAGAUGAACAUCAAAAUGGUAUACAAUGGUAUACAAUAAUGUGGGUGAUGUAGAGCCUAGAGGAGUGUGGGUGAUGUAGAGCCUAGAGGAGUGUGGGUGAUGUAGAGCCUAGAGGUGUGUGGGUGAUGUAGAGCCUAGAGGAGUGCGGGUAAUGUAGAGCGGUGCUGGCAGACUUAAAAUAGUAUAACUAAGAUUAUUUUAGUUAUACCACCACCACAGCAUCACCAUACACCACCACAGCAUCACCAUACACCACCACAGCAUCACCAUACACCACCACACCAUAGUUACACCACUAGUGUUUUAUAUAAUCAAACAUUCACACACCACUCAAUAUCAACAUGGAUGUCGCCAUGCCAACUGACGUCCCAUACCUGUGACCAUGACAACAUUCAUGUGACAGUGCCAGCACUGGCAUCACAGUGCCAACACUGACGCUGGUGUCAUUGUGGGUGGACAGGUCCAGGGAAGAGAGUGGUGCCUGUAGCGACGCAGGACACGUCGGGCGGAGACGUAAUGGCAGCCUUUACACCCCAGGACGUCGGGGAGUACCUCGUUGACGUCCGCGUCGGCGACACCAGGGUCCCCGGCAGCCCCUUCAGAUGCUAUGUGUACAACGCGCAGGAGAUCCGCGUUGGAACCAUCCCCAACGGCAUCGUCGGCAGACCGUCGAAUUUGAGAUCGAUGGAUCGUCAGCUGGCUCUGGCAACCUGGAGAUCCUGGUGAAUGGAGGUCAUGUGACCUCGUACGUCAGGAACCUGGGUCACCAGAGGUUCCUGGCUUCCUUUGUGCCGCACUCCGCUAUCCGCCACACCGUUGAGAUGCGCUUCAAUGGAGAGAAAGUUCCUGGUGAGUGUUAUUAAACACUUGUGUUGAAGAAAGUACGUUCUAACUUGGGUGUCAGGCAGGUGCCA